This 492-nucleotide ribosomal RNA is filed under the name uncultured bacterium. RNAcentral describes it as "partial 16S ribosomal RNA". It matches the Rfam family "Bacterial small subunit ribosomal RNA", at positions 30 to 507 of the family's 1533-position model. The record is from RNAcentral.
AUUGAACGCUGGCGGCAUGCUUUACACAUGCAAGUCGAGCGGUAACACGCCUUCGUUUGCUGACGAGUGGCGAACGGGUGCGUAAUGCAUCCGAACGUACCCCGAGCUGGUGGAUAACGCAGCGAAAGCUGUGCUAAUACCUCAUGUGAUCUGAGGAUGAAAACGGGGGACCGAGCAGCAAUGUUUGGCCUCUCGCCUUUGUAGUGGCCGAUGUCGGAUUAGCUAGUUGGUGGGGUAAAGGCCUACCAAGGCCACGAUCCGUAGCUGGGCUGAGAGGACGAACGGCCACACUGGGACUGAGAAACGGCCCAGACUCCUACGGGAGGCAGCAGUAGGGAAUUUUCGGCAAUGGGCGAAAGCCUGACCCAACAAAGCCGCGUGGGGGAAGAAGGCCUUCGGGUUGUAAAACCCUUUUAGGAGGGAAGAAAAAGGGUCCAAUUAAACCCGGCCGUCAUGACGGUAACUGACAAAAAAGCCACGGCUAACUACGUG